ACGGAGGAUCCAAGCGUUGUCCGGAUUUAUUGGGUUUAAAGGGUGCGCAGGCGGACUUUUAAGUCAGUGGUGAAAGCCGACAGCUCAACUGUCGAACUGCCAUUGAAACUGAAAGUCUUGAAUGCGGUCGAGGUAAAUGGAAUGUGUCAUGUAGCGGUGAAAUGCUUAGAUAUGAUACAGAACACCAAUUGCGAAGGCAGUUUACUAGACCGAUAUUGACGCUCAGGCACGAAAGCGUGGGGAGCGAACAGG
RNAcentral lists this ribosomal RNA (252 nucleotides) under uncultured bacterium. RNAcentral's name for it is "partial 16S ribosomal RNA". It matches the Rfam family "Bacterial small subunit ribosomal RNA", at positions 525 to 776 of the family's 1533-position model. The record is from RNAcentral.